GCCAGAGGUGCCGAGCGUUAGGCGGAAUCACUGGGCUUAAAGCGUGUGUAGGCGGAUCGUUAAGUGCCUUGUGAAAUCCCGCGGCUCAACCGUGGAACUGCUUGGCAUACUGGCGAUCUUGAGCCACUUAGGGGCUACCGGAACAAAUGGUGGAGCGGUGAAAUGCGUAGAUAUCAUUUGGAACGCCAAUGGUGAAAACAGGUAGCUGGGAGUGUGCUGACGCUGAGACACGAAAGCCAGGGGAGCAAACGGG
Molecule: ribosomal RNA, 253 nt
Filed under: uncultured bacterium
Lineage: Bacteria
Description: partial 16S ribosomal RNA
Rfam family: Bacterial small subunit ribosomal RNA
Source: RNAcentral